CCAAAAAAAAAAAAAAAAAAUCUACAGCAACAACAAGUAAAGCCCACAUUGGUUCCCAGCCUGUGACCAUGAAUGUAAUGUCUAUGAACCUGAUUUGCAGCAGGUCUGUCAAUUGUAUCCACAACAUCCUGCUCUUUCUGACCCUGUUUAGCUAAAAACUCGUAUCAUUACACUAUAUAUUUUGUUUUCUUGACCUUGGUCAAAUGAUGUGAUCCAAACAUCUAGGUUAGGCCCAAGAAAUUCUGUCGUAGUCUGUUUUUGGCAUGGGAGCCUAGCUUGACCCAUAUGAUGAACAUGUCUGACUUUAUUUAAUUGCCUCAGUGACCAUAGCUAUUUGGCUUGUAUAUUUUUCCUUCAUGUUGUGCCCAAAAGGCAACCUUGAUCAUCUGAAGCUAUCAUAGCAAAACCAACGUCAUGGGUGACCCUUAGGUGUGUAGAGUUGACAUUUAUAUUGACAGAUGCUGCUGUAUGGCAUUUUUCCUUCUUAUUUGUUAGUCUGGAUUAUGGUGUGCACAAUGAGGAUGCUGUUUGACUAUUGGUUUUGAAGUUUUUGUAGAGGGGACAAUUUAAGUGGCUUAGGAUGUAUCUGUUUUGUUUGUUGUUAAUGUUAUGGAGGGAAUGGACUAGAAGAGUAUCCAAUGGAGCAGAGCUAUGGAAUCAUCAUAUUAAAAUGAUUUUCUUGAAUAGCUUUCAUCCUAGUUAUUGGCUUUAGCUAUUUCAAGAUGGUCAAUAUCAUUCUUUGGGGCUUUUGCAUAUGAUCUCAUUUAUGUCUUCUUUUCCUAUUUUGAUGCAAUUUUUGUACAUAACUUUUGUUUUUGCUUGCACUGCCAUUUUGGUGUUUAAAUUUACAUUAUUUAUUAGAAAAAAAAAA
RNAcentral lists this unclassified non-coding RNA (871 nucleotides) under Hevea brasiliensis (rubber tree). Lineage: Eukaryota; Viridiplantae; Streptophyta; Magnoliopsida; Malpighiales; Euphorbiaceae. The record is from RNAcentral.